AAGGAAUUAUGCCUGAGUACUAAAGGACCACUUUGAUAGAGUGCUUUACGGGGGUUAGAAUCCCCCUAAUUCCUUA
RNAcentral lists this transfer RNA (76 nucleotides) under Hippocampus hippocampus (short-snouted seahorse). Its description in RNAcentral is "tRNA-Ile". It matches the Rfam family "tRNA". From Rfam's summary of the family: Transfer RNA (tRNA) molecules are approximately 80 nucleotides in length. Their secondary structure includes four short double-helical elements and three loops (D, anti-codon, and T loops). Further hydrogen bonds mediate the characteristic L-shaped molecular structure. tRNAs have two regions of fundamental functional importance: the anti-codon, which is responsible for specific mRNA codon recognition, and the 3' end, to which the tRNAs corresponding amino acid is attached (by aminoacyl-tRNA synthetases). tRNAs cope with the degeneracy of the genetic code in two manners: having more than one tRNA (with a specific anti-codon) for a particular amino acid; and 'wobble' base-pairing, i.e. permitting non-standard base-pairing at the 3rd anti-codon position. Lineage: Eukaryota; Metazoa; Chordata; Actinopteri; Syngnathiformes; Syngnathidae. The record is from RNAcentral.